This is a small nuclear RNA of Mastomys coucha (southern multimammate mouse), 161 nucleotides long. RefSeq annotates it as U1 spliceosomal RNA. The record is from RefSeq and is a predicted model, not a curated record. The transcript has a single exon. Lineage: Eukaryota; Metazoa; Chordata; Mammalia; Rodentia; Muridae.
AUACUUACCUGGCAGGGGAGAUACCAUGAUCACGAAGGAAGGUGGUUUUCCCAGGUUGAGGCUUAUCUGUUGCACUCCGGAUGUGCUGACCCCUGCGAUUUCCCCAAAUGCGGGGAAACUCGACUGCAUAAUUUGCGUUCACGAUCUCCCUUGGGGGUGGG